UUGUAAUUUUUUGUACAAAAAAAUAUAAAUAGAAUGAUGAUCCAAAAACUAAGUAUAGUUGCAAAUGCUCCUUUUCUUCUUCAAUUAAGUCAAGCCAAGCCAAAAUGUAAAAGCCUUUCACUUAUUAAUUACGCGAAACAUAGUUUUAAGCCUCCCACUAGAUAGGGCGGCCAGCAUAGACAUAAAAUAACUAGCAACCACCGUUGGCGGAUUUAGAGGCUGUAGGGGUUCACC
Molecule: long non-coding RNA, 234 nt
Filed under: Nicotiana benthamiana
Lineage: Eukaryota; Viridiplantae; Streptophyta; Magnoliopsida; Solanales; Solanaceae
Description: long non-coding RNA (NBEN_LNC037555)
Source: RNAcentral